AUGCAAGUCGAACGGGCACCCGCAAGGGUGUCAGUGGCGGACGGGUGAGUAAUGUAUCGCUAACGUACCCCGGAGCCUGGGAUAGCCGGCCGAAAGGCCGGGUAAUACCAGAUGAGACCACGGCCAGGCAUCUGGCAGUGCUCAAAGCCGCAAGGCGCUCCGGGAGCGGGCGAUAUCGUAUCAGCUAGUUGGCGGGGUAACGGCCCACCAAGGCGACGACGCGUAGCUGGUCUGAGAGGACGGCCAGCCACAUCGGGACUGAGACACUGCCCGGACUCCUACGGGGGGCUGCAGUAACGAAUCUUCCGCAAUGCACGAAAGUGUGACGGAGCGACGCCGCGUGUGGGACGAAGUCCUUCGGGAUGUAAACCACUGUCAGGGGUUACCAAGUUCUGAGGAGCCCCAGAGGAAGGCACGGCUAACUCUGUGCCAGCAGCCGCGGUAAGACAGAGGUGCCGAGCGUUAGGCGGAAUCACUGGGCUUAAAGCGUGUGUAGGCGGGUCGUUAAGUGUCUUGUGAAAUCCCACCGCUCAACGGUGGAACUGCUGGGCAUACUGGCGAUCUUGAGCCACCUAGGG
Molecule: ribosomal RNA, 578 nt
Filed under: uncultured soil bacterium
Lineage: Bacteria
Description: bacterial SSU rRNA
Rfam family: Bacterial small subunit ribosomal RNA
Source: RNAcentral